AUUGAACGCUGGCGGAAUGCUUUACACAUGCAAGUCGAACGGCAGCACGGGGGCAGCCCUGGUGGCGCGUGGCGAACGGGUGAGUAAUACAUCGGAACGUGCCCGGUCGUGGGGGAUAACGUAGCGAAAGUUACGCUAAUACCGCAUACUAUCUGAGGCUGAAAGCUGGGGACCUUCGGGCCUCGCGCGAUCGGAGCGGCCGAUGUCAGAUUAGUUAGUUGGUGGGGUAAAGGCCUACCAAGCCGACGAUCUGUAGCUGGUCUGAGAGGACGACCAGCCACACUGGGACUGAGACACGGCCAAGACUCCUAAGGGAGGUAGCAGUGGGGAAUUUUGGACAAUGGGCGCAAGCCUGAUCCAGCCAUUCCGCGUGCAGGACGAAGGCCUUCGGGUUGUAAACUGCUUUUGUACGGAACGAAAAGGCUCUGGCUAAUACCUGGGGCUCAUGACGGUACCGUAAGAAUAAGCACCGGCUAACUACGUG
This 484-nucleotide ribosomal RNA is filed under the name uncultured bacterium. RNAcentral describes it as "partial 16S ribosomal RNA". It matches the Rfam family "Bacterial small subunit ribosomal RNA", at positions 30 to 507 of the family's 1533-position model. The record is from RNAcentral.